Molecule: long non-coding RNA, 509 nt
Organism: Glossina fuscipes
Lineage: Eukaryota; Metazoa; Arthropoda; Insecta; Diptera; Glossinidae
Exons: 4
Source: RefSeq, a predicted model, not a curated record
AAAUUAGCAAAGAAAAAAAACGAACUAACAAACAAACAAAGCAGAAACUUGUUGACCAAGAAAAUUAGAACUUGUGAAUGACAGAAUGCUUCGACAUAUCACUCAUGCCAUUUGAUGAAAAAGGAUCGAACUUCGCGACAAAGAAUUAUUAUGAGCCACAGAAGGGCUCUGCGGGAUGCUUCCAAUUCCCUUACACUACUUGAAAAUGUAUUUCUGCAAGAGUUUGAGUUGGUCGCAGAAACCAAAAUUUGCUUCAAGGAAAAUUUGUCCUUUAAAAUUUUUGCAGAAUUUUUUUGGUGGACCUAUAAGCCACGUUCCUUAGUCAACGAACCAGUCACAAGUUGGAGUUCGUGAAAAAACGCCCCUGCAACAUUUGAUAGAAGAAGGGAUUGUUAUGAGGCAGAGAAGUGCUCUGCAAGAUGCUUACUUCUAUUUUAUUAAUAGUGUUCAUAAUAGAAAUAAAUAUAUGUACGUAUUCAAUAUAUAAAUAGUAUACAUAUAAAAAUAAA